GAUGAACGCUAGCGGGAGGCCUAACACAUGCAAGCCGAGCGGUAGAGUUUCUUCGGAAACUUGAGAGCGGCGCACGGGUGCGUAACACGUGUGCAACCUACCUUUAUCUGGGGGAUAGCCUUUCGAAAGGAAGAUUAAUACCCCAUAAUAUAAUGAUUGGCAUCAAUUAUUAUUGAAAACUCCGGUGGAUAGAGAUGGGCACGCGCAAGAUUAGAUAGUUGGUGAGGUAACGGCUCACCAAGUCAAUGAUCUUUAGGGGUCCUGAGAGGGAGAUCCCCCACACUGGUACGGAGACACGGACCAGACUCCUACGGGAGGCAGCAGUGAGGAAUAUUGGACAAUGGGUGAGAGCCUGAUCCAGCCAUCCCGCGUGAAGGAUGACGGUCCUAUGGAUUGUAAACUUCUUUUGUACAGGGAUAAACCUACCCUCGUGAGGGUAGCUGAAGGUACUGGACGAAUAAGCACCGGCUAACUCCGUG
RNAcentral lists this ribosomal RNA (479 nucleotides) under uncultured bacterium. RNAcentral describes it as "partial 16S ribosomal RNA". It matches the Rfam family "Bacterial small subunit ribosomal RNA", at positions 28 to 507 of the family's 1533-position model. The record is from RNAcentral.